Molecule: long non-coding RNA, 895 nt
Organism: Pseudophryne corroboree (corroboree frog)
Lineage: Eukaryota; Metazoa; Chordata; Amphibia; Anura; Myobatrachidae
Exons: 3
Source: RefSeq, a predicted model, not a curated record
CGCCUGACACUGCCCCAUUCACUCUUUGCACUUGAAGCAGCAACACUGGGCAGCUGAAUGCAUGCCAGCCCCCCACCCCCUCACCGUCACCUAACAUCAUGCCCUGGGCUGCUGCUGCUAAAUGCAGCUUCAUCCUGGAGCUUACAAGUGGAAGAUUCCCCUUCAUCAGGUGAAAUGAUCCAUUCAGGGGGUGGUGCUUCCUUCAUAAUUUUGGAUUGCGUUUGAAGAAUGGUACUCUCCUUCUGCAUCCACAAACCAGUGCAUUCUUAUUUAUCAGUGAUCAAAGGUGAGCUGCAGCUCAUUAUCUGUCAGCUGUCUCAAAAGCUCCACCAUUUUCUUCUUUACCUCAACAAUUGAUGCAAAAUGGUUUCCCUUGAGUACAGAUUUGACUUUAGGGAAAAGAAAGAAGUCACAUAGUGCUAGGACUGGUGAGUAUGGAGGGUGUUCUAGCACUGCAACCUGUUUCUCAGCCAAAAACUGCUUCACAGAGAGAGUAUUGUGUGGGCUGGUGUGUUGACCUGAUGGACGCUCAAACUAUUUUUCCACAACUCUGGGCUCUUCUGAUUCCUUCAUGCAAAGUUUGUGGAACAUUUUUGUAGUAAUGUUGAUUCACGGUUGUGCCUUCUGGUUUCGAGUCUUCCAAAAUAACACCCAUGAUAUCAAAGAAAGCAAUUCCAUUCAUUCGGAUUUGCUUUGACGUGCUUUCUUCAUUCUUGGAGAUGAUGAUAUUUUCUAGUGCAUGGACUGGCGUUUUACCUCAGGGUCAUACUGGAAGAUCCAUGUUUCAUCACAGGUAACAGCUGUAUCUGAAAAAUGUGAAUCCAAUUGAAUUUGUUCCAAAAUUAAUGUAAAACUUUCCAAUUGAUUUUUUUUCUUCUUGGUAGUGAGAAGCAUU